Molecule: ribosomal RNA, 415 nt
Filed under: Metainae sp. 128
Lineage: Eukaryota; Metazoa; Arthropoda; Arachnida; Araneae; Tetragnathidae
Description: SSU rRNA
Rfam family: Eukaryotic small subunit ribosomal RNA
Source: RNAcentral
CGAAAGUUAGAGGCUCGAAGGCGAUCAGAUACCGCCCUAGUUCUAACCAUAAACGAUGCCAGCCAGCGAUCCGGCUGUGUUCCUCAAAUGACACGCCGGGCAGCUUCCGGGAAACCAAAGCUUUUGGGUUCCGGGGGGAGUAUGGUUGCAAAGCUUAAACUUAAAGGAAUUGACGGAAGCGCACACAAGGAAUGGGGCCUGCGGCUUAAUUUGACUCAACACGGGACAACCUACCUGGCCCGGACACAAGAAGGAUUGACAGAUUAAGAGCUCUUUCUUGAUUUUGUGAUAGGUGGUGCAUGGCCGUUUCUGGUUGGUGGAGUGAUUUGUCUGCUUUAUUGCGAUAACGAGCGAGACUCUAGCCUACUAAAUAGACGUUCCGAUCCUUAUGAGUCGGACGUUCUUCUUAGAGGGA